GGAUGCGAUCAUACCAGCACUAAAGCACCGGAUCACAUCAGAACUCCGAAGUUAAGCGUGCUUGGGCGAGAGUAGUACUAGGAUGGGUGACCUCCUGGGAAGUCCUCAUGUUGCAUUCC
This 119-nucleotide ribosomal RNA is filed under the name Triticum aestivum (bread wheat). The record is from RNAcentral. Lineage: Eukaryota; Viridiplantae; Streptophyta; Magnoliopsida; Poales; Poaceae.